AUUUGAAUUUGCAUUUGAAGGUGUUAUUUGGGAGUAGAGCUUCUCAAGUCUGGCAGUGAAGGAAGUGAAACCACCCUCAAAACCCUUUGGCAUCACACAGAUGCUAUUAUGUGCUGCUCUUUAAAGGCAUUGCCAGUUUUCACCUUUGCUAACCAGGCUGGUCUUGACAUGCUUGAGACAACCUUGGUCGCCCUUCAAGACAUUACUUUGGAGAAGAUAUUUGAUGA
This is a non-coding RNA of Camellia sinensis, 227 nucleotides long. NCBI's taxonomy places the organism in Eukaryota, Viridiplantae, Streptophyta, Magnoliopsida, Ericales, Theaceae. The record is from RefSeq and is a predicted model, not a curated record.